RNAcentral lists this ribosomal RNA (1441 nucleotides) under Cupriavidus sp. B-3-5. Its description in RNAcentral is "bacterial SSU rRNA". It matches the Rfam family "Bacterial small subunit ribosomal RNA". The record is from RNAcentral. Lineage: Bacteria; Pseudomonadati; Pseudomonadota; Betaproteobacteria; Burkholderiales; Burkholderiaceae.
UGAAGUGCGGCUGCCUACACAUGCAGUCGAGCGGCAGCACGGGGAGCACGCUGCGUGGCGAGUGGCGAACGGGCGAGUAAUACAUCGGAACGUGCCCUGUAGUGGGGGAUAACUACUCCAAAGAUUAGCUAAUACCGCAUACAACCUGAGGGUGAAAGCGGGGGACCGCAAGGCCUCGCGCUACAGGAGCGGCCGAUGUCUGAUUAGCUAGUUGGUGGGGUAAAAGCCUACCAAGGCGACUAUCAGUAGCUGGUCUGAGAGGACGAUCAGCCACACUGAGGACUGAGACACGGCCCAGACUCCUACGGGAGGCAGCAGUGGGGAAUUUUGGACAAUGGGGGCAACCCUGAUCCAGCAAUGCCGCGUGUGUGAAGAAGGCCUUCGGGUUGUAAAGCACUUUUGUCCGGAAAGAAAUGGCUCUGGUUAAUACCCGGGGUCGAUGACGGUACCGGAAGAAUAAGCACCGGCUAACUACGUGCCAUCAGCCGCGGUAAUACGUAGGGUGCGAGCGUUAAUCGGAAUUACUGGGCGUAAAGCGUGCGCAUGCGGUUUUGUAAGACAGGCGUGAAAUCCCCGAGCUCAACUUGGGAAUGGCGCUUGUGACUGCAAGGCUAGAGUAUGUCAGAGGGGGGUAGAAUUCCACGUGUAGCAGUGAAAUGCGUAGAGAUGUGGAGGAAUACCGAUGGCGAAGGCAGCCCCCUGGGACGUCACUGACGCUCAUGCACGAAAGCGUGGGGAGCAAAACAGGAUUUAGAUACCCUGGUAGUCCACGCCCUAAACGAUGUCAACUAGUUGUUGGGGAUUCAUUUCUUCAGUAACGUAGCUAACGCGUGAAGUUGACCGCCUGGGGAGUACGGUCGCAAGAUUAAAACUCAAAGGAAUUGACGGGGACCCGCACAAGCGGUGGAUGAUGUGGAUUAAUUAGAUGCAACGCGAAAAACCUUACCUACCCUUGACAUGCCACUAACGAAGCAGAGAUGCAUUAGGUGCCCGAAAGGGAAAGUGGACACAGCUGCUGCAUGGCUGUCGUCAGCUCGUGUCGUGAGAUGUUGGGUUAAGUCCCGCAACGAGCGCAACCCUUGUCUCUAGUCGCUACGAAAGGCCACUCUAGAGAGACUGCCGGUGACAAACCGGAGGAAGGUGGGGAUGACGUCAAGUCCUCAUGGCCCUUAUGGGUAGGGCUUCACACGUCAUCCAAUGGUGCGUCCAGAGGGUUGCCAACCCGCGAGGGGGAGCUAAUCCCAGAAAACGCAUCGUAGUCCGGAUCCUAGUCUGCAACUGGACUACGUGAAGCUGGAAUCGCUAGUAAUCGCGGAUCACCAUGCCGCGGUGAAUACGUUCCCGGCUCUUGUCCACACCGCCCGUCACACCAUGGGAGUGGGUUCGCCCAGAAGUAGUUAGCCUAACCGCAAGGAGCCCGAUACCACGGGAGGCUUCAUAU